AUUGAACGCUGGCGGAAUGCUUUACACAUGCAAGUCGAACGGCAGCACGGACUUCGGUCUGGUGGCGAGUGGCGAACGGGUGAGUAAUGUAUCGGAACGUGCCCAGUCGUGGGGGAUAACGUAGUGAAAAUUACGCUAAUACCGCAUACGAUCUAUGGAUGAAAGCGGGGGAUCGCAAGACCUCGCGCGAUUGGAGCGGCCGAUAUCAGAGUAGGUAGUUGGUGGGGUAAAGGCCCACCAAGCCAACGAUCUGUAGCUGGUCUGAGAGGUCGACCAGCCACACUGGAACUGAGACACGGUCCAGACUCCUACGGGAGGCAGCAGUGGGGAAUUUUGGACAAUGGGCGAAAGCCUGAUCCAGCCAUUCCGCGUGCAGGAUGAAGGCCCUCGGGUUGUAAACUGCUUUUGUACAGAACGAAAAGGUUUCUACUAAUACUAGGAGCUCAUGACGGUACUGUAAGAAUAAGCACCGGCUAACUACGUGCCAGCAGCCGCCGUAA
Molecule: ribosomal RNA, 500 nt
Filed under: uncultured bacterium
Lineage: Bacteria
Description: partial 16S ribosomal RNA
Rfam family: Bacterial small subunit ribosomal RNA
Source: RNAcentral